CCUACGGGGUGCUGCAGUAGGGAAUCUUUCACAAUGGGCGAAAGCCUGAUGGAGCAACGCCGCGUGCAGGAUGAAGGCCUUCGGGUUGUAAACUGCUUUUAUAAGCGAGAAAUAUGAUGGUAACUUAUGAAUAAGGAUCGGCUAACUACGUGUCAGCAGCCGCGGUCAUACGUAGGAUCCGAGCAUUAUCCGGAGUGACUGGGUGUAAAGAGUUGCGUAGGUGGCAUAAUAAGUAGCUAGUGAAAUCUGGUGGCUCAACCAUUCAGACUAUUAGCUAAACUGUUAAGCUCGAGACCGUUAGGGGUAACUGGAAUUGCUAGUGUAGGAGUGAAAUCCGUAGAUAUUAGAAGGAAUACCAAUAGCGUAGGCAGGUUGCUGGGACGGUUCUGACACUAAGGCACGAAAGCGUAGGGAGCAAACGGGAUUAGAUACCCUGGUAGUC
Molecule: ribosomal RNA, 442 nt
Filed under: uncultured bacterium
Lineage: Bacteria
Description: partial 16S ribosomal RNA
Rfam family: Bacterial small subunit ribosomal RNA
Source: RNAcentral